Molecule: ribosomal RNA, 463 nt
Filed under: uncultured bacterium
Lineage: Bacteria
Description: partial 16S ribosomal RNA
Rfam family: Bacterial small subunit ribosomal RNA
Source: RNAcentral
GACGAACGCUGGCGGCGUGCUUAACACAUGCAAGUCGAACGGAAAGGCCUUUUCGGAGGUACUCGAGUGGCGCACGGGUGAGUAACACGUGGGUGAUCUGCCCUGCACUCUGGGAUAAGCCUGGGAAACUGGGUCUAAUACCGGAUAGGACCGCACUUUAGUGUGUGUGGUGGAAAGUUUUUUCGGUGUAAGAUGAGCCCGCGGCCUAUCAGCUUGUUGGUGGGGUAAUGGCCUACCAAGGCGGCGACGGGUAGCCGGACUGAGAGGUUGGUCGGCCACAUUGGGACUGAGAUACGGCCCAGACUCCUACGGGAGGCAGCAGUGGGGAAUAUUGCACAAUGGGCGCAAGCCUGAUGCAGCGACGCCGCGUGGGGGAUGACGGCCUUCGGGUUGUAAACUCCUUUCGCCAGGGACGAAGCGUUUUGUGACGGUACCUGGAGAAGAAGCACCGGCUAACUACGUG